GGGAAGUGAUGAGUGAUAAAAACUCGCAAAUAAAAAUGCGACAAGGGUGUCUGCUCCGCCUGUUUUACGACAAUUUGGCGCUCUCAUCUAUACCUUUCUGAUCCC
Molecule: small nucleolar RNA, 105 nt
Organism: Salvia splendens (bonfire salvia)
Lineage: Eukaryota; Viridiplantae; Streptophyta; Magnoliopsida; Lamiales; Lamiaceae
Product: small nucleolar RNA Z279/snoR105/snoR108
Exons: 1
Source: RefSeq, a predicted model, not a curated record